GACCCCGGCGUACCGCUCAGUAACACGCGGAUAAUCUACCCCCAGGUGAGGUAUAACCUCGGGAAACUGAGGAUAAUCCCUCAUAGUUAUCAUAUGCUGGAAUGCUUUGAUGACGAAAGCCUUUACGCCUGAGGAUGAGUCUGCGGCCUAUCAGGUCGUAUGUGAUGUAAAGGACCACAUAGCCUAGGACGGGUACGGGCCCUGAAAGGGGGAGCCCGGAGAUGGACUCUGAGACACAAGUCCAGGCCCUACGGGGCGCAGCAGGCGCGAAAACUGUGCAAUGCGCGAAAGCGCGACACGGGAAACCUGAGUGCCUUGACAAUGUCAAGGCUUUUCUUAAGCCUAAAAAGCUUAAGGAAUAAGAGCUGGGCAAGACGGGUGCCAGCCGCCGCGGUAACACCCGCAGCUCGAGUGGUGGUCACUUUUAUUGAGCCUAAAGCGUUUGUAGCCGGUUUUGCAAAUCUUCAGAUAAAUUCCUCUGCUUAACAGAUGAUCUUCUGAAGAGACUGCGAGACUUGGGACCGGGUGAGGUUGAAGGUACUUCCGGGGUAGGGGUAAAAUCCUGUAAUCCUGGAAGGACGACCGGUGGCGAAGGCGUUCAACUAGAACGGAUCCGACGGUGAGGAACGAGGGCUAGGGUAGCAAACCGGAUUAGAUACCCGGGUAGUCCUAGCUGUAAACACUGCCCACUUGGUGUUGCCCCUCCGAUGAGGGGAGGCAGUGCCGGAGCGAAGGUGUUAAGUGGGCCGCUUGGGGAGUAUGGUCGCAAGGCUGAAACUUAAAGGAAUUGGCGGGGGAGCACCGCAACGGGAGGAGCGUGCGGUUUAAUUGGAUUCAACGCCGGAAAACUCACCGGGAGCGACCUUUGGAUGAGAGUCAGCCUGAUGAGCUUACUCGAUAGAAGGAGAGGUGGUGCAUGGCCGUCGUCAGCUCGUACCGUAGGGCGUUCACUUAAGUGUGAUAACGAGCGAGACCCCCAUCUCUAAUUGCUAACGUGCAUUCGCGUGCACGCGCACUUUAGAGGGACCGCCAGUGCUAAACUGGAGGAAGGAGGGGUCGACGGCAGGUCAGUACGCCCCGAAUCUCCCGGGCAACACGCGCGCUACAAAGGGCAGGACAAUGAGUUGCCACCUCGAAAGGGGGAGCUAAUCUCGAAACCUGUUCGUAGUUAGGAUUGAGGGCUGUAACUCGCCCUCAUGAAUGUGA
This 1206-nucleotide ribosomal RNA is filed under the name uncultured Thermoplasmatales archaeon. RNAcentral describes it as "bacterial SSU rRNA". It matches the Rfam family "Archaeal small subunit ribosomal RNA", at positions 74 to 1285 of the family's 1478-position model. Lineage: Archaea; Methanobacteriati; Thermoplasmatota; Thermoplasmata; Thermoplasmatales. The record is from RNAcentral.